Molecule: ribosomal RNA, 253 nt
Filed under: uncultured bacterium
Lineage: Bacteria
Description: partial 16S ribosomal RNA
Rfam family: Bacterial small subunit ribosomal RNA
Source: RNAcentral
UACGUAGGGUGCAAGCGUUAAUCGGAAUUACUGGGCGUAAAGCGUGCGCAGGCGGCUUUGCAAGACAGAUGUGAAAUCCCCGGGCUCAGCCUGGGAACUGCAUUUGUGACUGCAAGGCUAGAGUACGGCAGAGGGGGAUGGAAUUCCGCGUGUAGCAGUGAAAUGCGUAGAUAUGCGGAGGAACACCAAUGGCGAAGGCAAUCCCCUGGGCCUGUACUGACGCUCAUGCACGAAAGCGUGGGGAGCAAACAGG